This 527-nucleotide unclassified non-coding RNA is filed under the name Hevea brasiliensis (rubber tree). The record is from RNAcentral. Lineage: Eukaryota; Viridiplantae; Streptophyta; Magnoliopsida; Malpighiales; Euphorbiaceae.
CGGCGGCACUCUCAGUUCACAAAUUUCCGAUUGAAAUGGAAGAAGGAGGAAUUCAGUCAAAGUAUGUGAAAUUAACAAAAGAUCAAGCACCACUUGAAGAAGACAUUAAGCCUGGAGAGCUGAAUCAACCGAUUCAUGUCCCUCAGCUAGUCGUUCACAAGUGCAACGAAUGUGGACAAGUUUUACCUGAAAGUUUUGAGCCUCCUGCAGAUGAGCCUUGGACAAGUGGGAUUUUUGGAUGUGCAGAGGACAAAGAUAGCUGCUGGACAGGACUUUUCUGCCCGUGUGUCUUGUUUGGGCGUAAUGUCGAGAGGCUGAGAGAUGAUACUCCUUGGACUACCCCUUGUGUUUGUCAUGCCAUUUUUGUUGAGGGUGGCAUUGCUCUUGCAGCUGCAACAGCUGUAUGUCAUGGUAUUGAUCCAGGUACAUCGUUCCUCAUUGGCGAAGGCUUACUAUUUGGUUGGUGGAUGUGUGGAAUAUAUACGGGUCUUUUCCGGCAGUCGCUGCAGAAGAAGUAUCAUCUCAAG